RNAcentral lists this ribosomal RNA (502 nucleotides) under uncultured bacterium. Its description in RNAcentral is "partial 16S ribosomal RNA". It matches the Rfam family "Bacterial small subunit ribosomal RNA", at positions 30 to 523 of the family's 1533-position model. The record is from RNAcentral.
AUUGAACGCUGGCGGCAGGCUUAACACAUGCAAGUCGAGCGGGGUGAUGGUGCUUGCACUAUCACUUAGCGGCGGACGGGUGAGUAAUGCUUAGGAAUCUGCCUAUUAGUGGGGGACAACAGCUCGAAAGGAAUGCCAAUACCGCAUCCGUCCUACGGGAGAAAGCAGGGGAUCACUUGUGUCCUUGUGCUAAUAGAUGAGUCUAAGUCGGAUUAGCUAGUUGGUGGGGUAAGGCCUACCAAGGCGACGAUGUGUAGCGGGUCUGAGAGGAUGAUCCGCCACACUGGGACUGAGACACGGCCCAGACUCCGACGGGAGGCAGCAGUGGGGAAUAUUGGACAAUGGGGGGAACCCUGAUCCAGCCAUGCCGCGUGUGUGAAGAAGGCCAUAUGGUUGUAAAGCACUUUAAGCGAGGAGGAGGCUCUUUUGGUUAAUACCCAAGAUGAGUGGACGUUACUCGCAGAAUAAGCACCGGCUAACUCUGUGCCAGCCGCCGCCGUAA